AGGGGUAUAGCUCAGUUGGUAGAGCGACGGUCUCCAAAACCGUAGGUCGAGGGUUCGAGCCCUUCUGCCCCUGCCA
This 76-nucleotide transfer RNA is filed under the name Micavibrio aeruginosavorus EPB. Its description in RNAcentral is "tRNA-Trp (CCA) (tRNA-Trp-CCA-1-1)". It matches the Rfam family "tRNA". Rfam says of the family: Transfer RNA (tRNA) molecules are approximately 80 nucleotides in length. Their secondary structure includes four short double-helical elements and three loops (D, anti-codon, and T loops). The record is from RNAcentral. RNAcentral also lists the same sequence under 4 other names. Lineage: Bacteria; Pseudomonadati; Bdellovibrionota; Bdellovibrionia; Bdellovibrionales; Pseudobdellovibrionaceae.